CAUUCACUAGGAACUACAGCAAUGAAGAACAGAAUUGAACUUACAGAAUGUGGCUCAGAGAGGAGGGACUCAGUGUUCACAGAUCAGACAUGAUCUAAUUAUGUCUGACAGAGACUGUGGUAGAAACUAUUCAGUCUUGACUCUUCUCAGAGUGAACACGGGUACAAUGGAUCUUUAUUCAAUUAUACUGUUCAGUGCUUCAGCAGCUGCUGUCUUUGGAAAUGUCAUCAAAACAAACAAAACUGAUGUUUUUUAUGAAGAGGGUUCAGUUAUUGUAUUGUCCUGUAGUCAGUCACCUGUAGCUUCAGAUAAUAUCUACUGGUACCGUCAGUAUGAAAGAUCAAGACCUGAAUUUCUUGUACUCACCUACGGUAGUUCAAAAGAACCUGCGGUGUCUGAUGUAGAUCCAAGAUUCUCUGUUAAACCUGAAACAAAGGAACAAAUCCAUGCGGAUCUGAAGAUCUCCUCUGCUGCUGUAUCAGACUCUGCUCUGUACUACUGUGCUCUGAGGCCCACAGUGACAGGAAACACAUCAGCUCUCUACAAAAACCUGCUACAAUGAGAGACAGGAGAAAAAAAGACAGCAAGAAAUAACGUAAAUGAAUGUUAAAUUAUCUCAAAUGAUUCACAUGUGUAAUGUAGUAUACUGUAUAGUGCAUACUGUACAUUCACAUGGAGUUCCUGCUUGUUCCAAAAUCUGAUUACAUUUUAAACAAAUAAAAUAGCUAGACUAUAAAUACUUAUUAUUCUUUAUAUUUUCAUCAGUCAAAAAUUUUAAUGAUAAAUGCGACGACAUCAAGCAUUUAAGCCAUGCCUUUAUAAAGCAGAAAGUUCCUGUGUGUUUGUGACUGAUCUGCAGUGACUUACAGCUCAGAGCACUGAGAGCCUCAACAGAGAACUGAACUGAUCUGAUUGAACAUGGACAGAUGCUUCAUACUGAUUCUCAUUGUGGUACAUUAGGUACAUUAUUUGUGGAAGUGGAAACAAAUGAAAGUGUAUUAACGUGAUAUUUACAUGUUUUAAAACUUCAAACUCUAAAUGUUUUAUUUAUUUACUUAUUUUCUAAAAAUGUUGUGAAAGGUUUUUGAGAUAUUAUUUUGUCAACCUUUCACAUUUCAAAAUUGUUCAAAUGUGUUUAUUGUUAACAGGUUUGGUGGCUGGAGACAACGUUGAGACAUUGACAGAAACAUUGACAGAAAUAAUCACUAAAGAAAGGGAAAUUGUCAAGUUGAGCUGCUCAUAUAGCACAAGUAGCAAUGGCUUUUCUGUUAUGGACAUUAUCUGAAGAGAGAACCCCAGUAUUUAUUACAAAAAGGUGACAACUUAUACUUAAGAUGCCACUUAUGCAAAAUACUUGCAGUGAACCAGAAGAGGGCAGUAGGUGCUCAAUAUUACAUUUGAUGAUAUGGCAGCUUUCAUUUGUCUUCACAAGCUCCUCCUUGCAUUAUCAUUAUAAUAACAAAAACACAACUGUCAUAUUCAGUGAUUUAUCUGGACUUCGGCAUAGACACAGUCAUGUCACACAGGUUGAUGAAUAUAUUUCUCUUCGCACUAUUCAUUCAUGGUAUGGAUUUUCAUUUAAUACAGCUGCAUAUUCAAGUAAGUUGUUUAUAUUUUGUAUUGUAUUGUACAUUACAUUUUCUUAAACCUUCACAGAGUGCAGAUCAGAGGACACAGUUGAUCAGCCAGACAAACAUGUGACUGAAGUUGAAGGAAGA
Molecule: non-coding RNA, 1718 nt
Organism: Cyprinus carpio (common carp)
Lineage: Eukaryota; Metazoa; Chordata; Actinopteri; Cypriniformes; Cyprinidae
Source: the annotation of a RefSeq genome assembly